ACUUGUCAGAAAGUAGCCUGAAAAAAUAUUGAAGUUGCCGUUUUUUAAGAAAGUUAUGUUCCUUUUCUCCAUGUUCUAAAACGUACACAUGUGAAUAUUCAGACGUGUAUUUCUUAAGAUCCUGAUCUGGGAGUUUUGCUAUAGCCAAAAGCAUGAGCUGUAAAUCCCCAGCUGUGGAUACUGCAUGGCUAUGCUAAUGUUAUAUACUAUUGUAUAUGAAUGAUACUUUUCUUGAGGGCCAUUUUAUCAAUCUGUUGACCUUUGUAGGGCCACUUCUAAACAAAUUAAAAUUGGGACUGCAUCUAUGUCAGUCAGCUGGCAAUGAAGCUUACCCAUCCUAUAGUGCUGUUGGCCACUGAUGGAGGCUCUAGAGGAAUGUCACUGUUGUGGCUCUAGUGUUGUCAUAUGACAGUGUGAGGUAUAUGCCUUGGGAAUCAAGAUGCUUGGUCAUACAGUCAUCUUGUUGCACAUCUGGGCUGGGUGGUUGACGAAUUUCUGAGCCCAGACAGAUCGGUUAGAGUUUCUCAGCAGGGAAGACUCCAGCCAGUCUGGUGACAGUCUGCACACAACUGCCUGGCUUCUUGAAGAAAAUCAGGAAGAGUCUUCAACCCGCACUAAGUGUGAUUUUGAGUUCUCCUGCAUCUUCUUUUCCCUUUGGGUGCCUGAGGCUUAUGCCACCAGGAAGGCAAGGAAACCUCUCAGAGCGGUGUGAAGGGGACAGCAGCAGAGGAGGACCAACCUGCUGAAGAGGGCCUAGUGAACCUGAGUACCUUGUGGUAUGAAAGCCAUGCAUGAAAGCAGCAUAAGCAUUGCAAUAAAAAAAGGAUGACUUGACAAAGUGGGAGGUGGUGAAGGCUGGAAGGUGAGUGUGUGAUCCUGAGAUCAGCCCUGUCAUUGCCAGUAUCACUUGGGUCUCGGACUCUCCUGUUUCUCCCAGAUCUGUAAAAGGUGAGCCAGUUUGGGAGAGGAGUGGCAGAGGCAUGAGAAUGAGCCGCUUGGUGAAAAUCAGUGAAACUGUUGGGGGGCUGGCUGAAAGGUAAACAGACCUUUAUCUGGCAGGCAGAAUUUUGCAAGUGUUGACAGAUAUAGUCCAUGACAAAAUUCUAGACAGCUGGGCCUAGAGAUGGCCCUAGUGUUUGCUGUGGGUCAAUGUGGUGUGAGUGGAGGCAUUGAAGCACUGAUAAGAAAUCUGUGCUGCUCCUCUGCCCUAUUUCUCAUGAGGCUUUUCCUAAUUAGUUUUGCACUUUUGAAUAGGCUUCUGCAAAUGUUUCUGCUAGAGUUCAUUGGAAAAAGACCAGGAAAACUAGCUGUGAGGGCUCACACCUUGUGAGGGAGGAUGAGAAGCUACGUGACCGUCACUCAUCAUGAGGGAUCAUCACUCAUAAUGAGGUACAGGGGCAGUGAGGACUCUUGGGCAAGACCCAGGUAGGACCAAUUGCUGCAUCUUGUCAUUCCAACCCAUUCCAGGGUUGUCACUGCCAGUUGCACACAGAAAGUUGUGGCUUGGGCCACUGGCAGCACAGUGAGCUGCAGUGCCUAGAAGUGACCCCUCACCCUCAGUCACUGAGAAUGCAGAUCAGACAUGAGGUCUGCGAGAGGGACUGAGCAUGCUGCACUUUGUUUGCAAGCAAUGUGGAGAGGACUUUGCUGAAUAAUAAGAUGGCUUUGUUGUGCCACAGGAACCUUCCAGGCUUCAGCCUCCUACCUGAGCUGCACAAGAGUAAACUGCUGUAUGCCCACAGCCUGCCCAUUUGUCAUACUCUCUUAGACGGAGGUGUCAGGCAUUAGAUGUGAGGCAGAUUUGGAUCUCUUCUCUGCUGAUGGUAGGUGAGAAACAGGAUGCUAGUUCCAUGUCAAAAUACUCCUCUGAGCCUUUGUGGAGAGGCUUAUCCAUGGUGGGAGAAUCCCUUCUUUUCUACCCCACACAGGCAUCGGAGGAGUGUGGAGACAGUGAUCCUUCACUGCAUUAUGGAAAAUGGAGAAGAUAAUUGUUUCAUAUGCAUUGCAUGCAGUCAAAAACGAGUUGACAAAACGGACCUAAAUUUCACCAGGAAGAAGUUAUGACAGGAGGCCUUAGUUUCUCCUUGGAGCUCUCAAUCUGCUCCAUGUGGAAAGCUGGUAAAUAGAACCAAGCUGUUUGCAGCAAAAUUAGAGAUUUUUCCAGGUCCCAUAUGGUUUUGGUUAAGAGAGAGCAGACUUCAGUGAGAAACAGUGCUCAGGAAGCGAGUAGGAACUUAGCUUAUGUCUGCAUUUCUAAUUCUGGUUUGUACAAUAAUUCUAAUUCUCAGCCUCAGUUGCUCAUUGGCAAUGCCCACACCCUGUUUUUAGAUCAUUCUGGGUGUAAUUUGCAGAAACCUAUUCUGUAGUUUUUAGGCACUUGUUCAAGAGUGAGCUCACAGUGAGCUUGGUGGGCCUUGCCUACUGAAUGUGUUUAAUCAAAGUCAUCAGUCUUAAUCAUAAAAUCAUAGA
Molecule: non-coding RNA, 2469 nt
Organism: Meleagris gallopavo (turkey)
Lineage: Eukaryota; Metazoa; Chordata; Aves; Galliformes; Phasianidae
Source: RefSeq, a predicted model, not a curated record